RNAcentral lists this transfer RNA (73 nucleotides) under Candidatus Aenigmatarchaeota archaeon. RNAcentral's name for it is "tRNA-Gln". It matches the Rfam family "tRNA". From Rfam's summary of the family: Transfer RNA (tRNA) molecules are approximately 80 nucleotides in length. Lineage: Archaea; Nanobdellati; Candidatus Aenigmatarchaeota. The record is from RNAcentral.
AGCCCCGUCGUCUAGUGGCCAAGGAUACGGGCCUCUGGAGCCUGGGACGCCUGUUCGAAUCAGGCCGGGGCUA